UCAACAUCAUCCAUAAGAAAAUUGACCUCCAGACAGAAGGUGGUCUUCCAAACAAGAUACAAGCUCCAAUGUCAGAGUCUCCUUAUCUUACAGAAGAGAGCUGCCUCCAAAAUGGAAGUGGGAUAUUCCUUCAGAACAGGGAAGCCAGCAUGAAAGAGAAGUUUCCCACAGAUGAAAGAAAAGGCUGACAUAAGGAAGAGCUCUGCUUUUCCUGGAGAUACCGACUCCACUCGCUGCCUCACAAGGCCUGCUCAGGCUACUAUCCAGAUACCACAAAGAUUUAUCCAGAAAAACUUAGGAAUUAGAAAAUUUCAGUAAAACUUUUUAUUUUGCCAUGAAAGGGACUUAAGAUGUUGAAAAACAGAUCCUUCCUUAAAAAAAAAAAAAAUGGUUUGGAGAAACACUAGAUCCUUCCUGACUUGAGAAAGGGACUGAAGAUGUCUUAAAAGUGAUCUUCCAGAAGAAGGUGGACAGAUCCCUGCCAAUUGUGCCCCCAUCCUGCCUGCUGAUGGUUCCAGAGUCCUGUGUGCCCUUGUUUCUGCAGAUCAUUUGAGAACGGAUCCGUUGGCUGGAGGAUUAAGCACAGAACGGGUCAUUCUACCAGAUGGGUCAUGACUAAACCACCUGCUGUGGGUAUGGCAAGAUGAUGAGAGCACAUUUCAUAAGUCAUCACAGAUGAACAGGAUGUGUGCGUUCACCAACAGCAGUAAUCCACUUUCUAUUACAGAGAUGUCAUCUCAAACAUUUUAUUUACUAUUUGAACAAAAAAAAAGUACUAUUAAGACAGAUACAGAAGUCUUCAUGUCCAGUUUAUUCUGCCCUUGUGCCCAAUUUGUAGAAGAGGCCACAACCCUACAGAUGUUCCAUUGUUAGCAUCACAUUAACUCCAUCACAGUGGCAAAUCUUUGCAGGUGAAGCUUAUUCCCAAAGUUAUCUUCUAACAGAAUUCUGCAUCUGGCAGAAAUUUCAAUGGACAAGACAAUGAGGCAGUGUUCAAUCUGCACAGCUGACUGUCUGCCACAGGCUAAUGCCAGAGCCAUUCUGAAAAUGUUAGCUUAAGAGACAGCCCCCUUCUAACUGCGUUCGUUGGGUCUGGUUCAGCAAUAACCUCCUAAAAAGCUGUUUCUGCAAUUUUAAAGCAAAGUGAAAUACAAAAACCCUAACAAACGCCGCGUUUUGAAGACUUACAGCUAGUGCAAAAUAGGCAUCCCACAAGUCAAACGUAAAACAGACGUAGCAACAAAGGCGUCAUUUGUGUCUCAGUACAAAUCCAUACACUUCCGAGGUUCACCCCACUAAAAAAAAAUUUUUAAAAAAAUCUGCAUUUCUUGUUUAUGCAAUUCUAGAAAACUAUCACGUGGCAACACGCAGAAACUCACAGCAGCUAAAAAAUGAAAGUGCCGUAUAGCCAAAAUAAAUGUGAAAGCAAAUCAAGGUUUGUAGCUGCACAUACUAUUGAAACAAGUGAUACACAGUUUGAGCAAAUAGGUUUUGGGUGAGGAAAACCUUCUUCAGAUCCAAAAUACGACCAACCUGCAAACUAAAGCUUUGGUUCCACCAUCAAAGUGGAAUUGCAGACUGCACACUUCUGGUUCAUUACAGAAACCUCAUCAAAAGAAGUGGAAGAAUGAGUAUGAACCGAGUGAAGGAGUGCAAAUCUGUGACCAAUUCCAAACAGCUUCAAUGAGAAAGAGAUUCACCUGGACAUGACUUGUGCAUCAUUAAGGUAAAGAUAUCAUCCCUACAUCAACAGAAACUAAUUUGCCAAGUGCAUCAGACCGUUACAAAAUUGGCACCUAAUAAACUUUGUGACCAGUAUCCAACUCCUCCACGUAAUAUUUGAUCAUGAACUUAAAUCAGUUCAGAAAAAAACCUAAGUAUAUUCACCUGACAGGCAUGAAAAGGUCACUUUUUUAAAAAGGCUUGCUUAAAACACCUGUGCCAAUACAAUAAAGCCAACAGCAUAUACACGUGGUAGGAAGCCAAACCAUCAACUUCUGAAAAAAGAGCAUCAAAAUAUGAAGCA
Athene cunicularia (burrowing owl) is the source of this 2026-nucleotide long non-coding RNA. RefSeq lists it as uncharacterized. The record is from RefSeq and is a predicted model, not a curated record. NCBI's taxonomy places the organism in Eukaryota, Metazoa, Chordata, Aves, Strigiformes, Strigidae. The transcript has 4 exons.